Long non-coding RNA from Melanotaenia boesemani (Boeseman's rainbowfish), 429 nucleotides. RefSeq lists it as uncharacterized. NCBI's taxonomy places the organism in Eukaryota, Metazoa, Chordata, Actinopteri, Atheriniformes, Melanotaeniidae. The record is from RefSeq and is a predicted model, not a curated record. The transcript has 3 exons.
GGGAGAUUACAUUAACAGGGAAUCCUUCCACAGCAUCAAUGUUCAGAUGAUCUGUGAUGCUGACUGCCUUGUGAGCAAUUUAGAGGCAAAGUGGCCUGGCUCAGUGCAUGACUCUAGAGUCUUUCGGGUUAGUCCAAUUUAUGAGAGACUUUCACAAGGUGAAUUCUCUGGUGUGCUGCUGGGAGAUAAAGGAUACGCCUGUGAGUCAUUCCUCUUGACUCCCCUUGCAGAUCCCCAAACCCCACCACAGCAGGCCUACAACCAUGCACACACCAAGACAAGGGCUCGAAUCGAGAUGACCUUCGGCCUUCUGAAAUCUCGGUUUCAGUGCCUGCACCACCUGAGGAUUUCCCCGGACAGAGCCUGUGAUGUUAUUGCUGCAUGCGUAGUACUGCAUAACAUUGCAGGCCUAAGAAAGGAGAGACCCCC